Rosa rugosa (rugosa rose) is the source of this 583-nucleotide long non-coding RNA. RefSeq lists it as uncharacterized. The transcript is spliced from 5 exons. The record is from RefSeq and is a predicted model, not a curated record. Lineage: Eukaryota; Viridiplantae; Streptophyta; Magnoliopsida; Rosales; Rosaceae.
AAAGCUUUUUAGGUUUUUAGGGUCAUAAACAUCGUUCUCGUUCCCGCUUCCUCCAUCUGCUAUAUCCCGCUCACUCCAUCCAAUCCGGACAACGAAGUCAACCAUAGCAAUCUGCGAAGUCGACAUCUGCUAGUUCAGCUCCACCUCCUUCCUAUUUUUAUUCCUCUUUCUGCACAUUCAAUCCGUCACUCAGACCCUAAACUCUAAUACUCAGAAAUCAAUCAGAUCUGUCCGUCUCUCGCUUUGUGGACUGCAUCUUGUCGAUCUCCACUCUCAAAACAGAGAUUGUUCACUGUUGAAGAAUUGGCUUUGUACAAUGGGACUGAUCAAAGUUUGCCCUCUUGUUAGGAAUUCUGGGAGUUGAAACACUGAGGUACAAAAGAGGGGACGGCGAAUCAAUCUGUGUUUGUUUUGGAAAAGGGCUUCUGCUAUAUUUGUUGGUGUAUAUGAACCUACGAAGCAGAAAUUGUUGAAGUCACUCCCAGAAAAUUUCAGUGCUUUAGUUCAUUUGGUAUUCAGACAUCAAUCAGACUGCAGGUGCUAUUGGAGGUGCUGCUUCUUCUAUUGUACGAGUGCCAACAGA